RNAcentral lists this ribosomal RNA (256 nucleotides) under Streptomyces sp. ISOM161_OTU243. RNAcentral's name for it is "partial 16S ribosomal RNA". It matches the Rfam family "Bacterial small subunit ribosomal RNA", at positions 29 to 289 of the family's 1533-position model. The record is from RNAcentral. RNAcentral also lists the same sequence under 5 other names. Lineage: Bacteria; Bacillati; Actinomycetota; Actinomycetes; Kitasatosporales; Streptomycetaceae.
ACGAACGCUGGCGGCGUGCUUAACACAUGCAAGUCGAACGAUGAAGCCCUUCGGGGUGGAUUAGUGGCGAACGGGUGAGUAACACGUGGGCAAUCUGCCCUUCACUCUGGGACAAGCCCUGGAAACGGGGUCUAAUACCGGAUAACACUCUGUCCCGCAUGGGACGGGGUUAAAAGCUCCGGCGGUGAAGGAUGAGCCCGCGGCCUAUCAGCUUGUUGGUGGGGUGAUGGCCUACCAAGGCGACGACGGGUAGCCG